AAUUGUUCGCAAUGGGCGCAAGCCUGACGACGCAACGCCGCGUGGAGGAUGAAGACUUUCGGGUCGUAAACUCCUUUCGACCGAGAUGAAUAGCCCGGGAUCUAAUAGUUCCCGGGCCUGACAGUAUCGAGGGAAUAAGCCCCGGCUCACCUCGUGCCAGCAGCCGCGGUAAGACGAAGGGGGCUAGCGUUGUUCGGAAUUACUGGGCGUAAAGCGAGUGUAGGCGGUUGUCCAAGUCAGGCGUGAAAGCCUCGAGCUCAACUCGAGAAAUGCGCUUGAUACUGGGCGACUAGAGGACCGGAGAGGAUAGUGGAAUUCCCAGUGUAGUGGUGAAAUACGUAGAGAUUGGGAAGAACACCAGUGGCGAAGGCGGCUAUCUGGACGGUUACUGACGCUAAGACUCGAAAGCGUGGGGAGCAAAC
Molecule: ribosomal RNA, 422 nt
Filed under: uncultured bacterium
Lineage: Bacteria
Description: bacterial SSU rRNA
Rfam family: Bacterial small subunit ribosomal RNA
Source: RNAcentral